Rhodamnia argentea is the source of this 542-nucleotide long non-coding RNA. RefSeq lists it as uncharacterized. NCBI's taxonomy places the organism in Eukaryota, Viridiplantae, Streptophyta, Magnoliopsida, Myrtales, Myrtaceae. The record is from RefSeq and is a predicted model, not a curated record. The transcript has 3 exons.
CCAUUUUGCAAAUAAGAAGCAGAAGCUGCAGCUGAAAGCGCUGGAAAACACAAACAAACAGUGCCUGAAAUUGAUCGAGACAUCGAGAGAGGGAGAGAGAGUGAGGAGGAAGAUGAUACACCGGAAAUGGAGUCUCCUGACUGGUCCCGGCGCUAUUCUCGGUGGCAUAGUGGCCGCUGUCGUCGUCGCCAACUACAUCUUUCUAGGCGAUCCAUUCCGUAAGCCAGAGCCAAAGAAGGAGUACUCACCAUCGUCUACCAAGUGAUCAUGGUGAUGUAACUCAAGUGAACGUGAGGACCAUGUUUGGGCUGGGUUUUGAGAGUUCUUGAACCUUACGAUGGAAACAGAAAGUUGUAUCUUGAAAUAUUAGUUUCGAGAACAUUGUUCAACCCUAUGUACCUAGCCAUUCUCUUUUGUUGUAUGCUGCUGUCACAUUUUCUGCUUGACUGCCAAAAAUAAGGUUCAGUGAACACUGUGGCUAAUGCAAAUGUUCCCAUUGAUGGCAGAAGGUAAUGAAUUGUCAUGCUGAUAUUUCUGAAUUA